This 354-nucleotide RNase P RNA is filed under the name Candidatus Omnitrophota bacterium. Its description in RNAcentral is "RNase P RNA component class A". It matches the Rfam family "Bacterial RNase P class A". From Rfam's summary of the family: Ribonuclease P (RNase P) is a ubiquitous endoribonuclease, found in archaea, bacteria and eukarya as well as chloroplasts and mitochondria. Lineage: Bacteria; Pseudomonadati; Candidatus Omnitrophota. The record is from RNAcentral.
GCAGGCAGCAGGUGGCUACUCUUCUGCUUUGUCAGAAGGGAGGAAAGUCCGGGCUCCAGUGGGCAACGUAGCGGGUAACACCCGACCCUUUAAGUAAGUUAUUACUUAAAGAGGAUUAGAGCUACAGAGACGAGUAGUAGCAAAUUAGGUUUACCGAGAAUAUCGUGGUAAACUUAAUCAUGCUACGAGGUGAAACGUCGCAAUCUCUACGUGGAGCAAGGCCAAAUAGGAGACAAGGAGAAGCCCCCUCCGAUAUGAGUCUCGGGUUGGCUGCAAAAGAUCUACUGGUAACAGAGAUCUUAAGAAAAAUGGCCACACACAAUAGACAGAACCCGGCUUAUGCUGCCUGUCCGA